RNAcentral lists this ribosomal RNA (148 nucleotides) under Escherichia coli. RNAcentral describes it as "partial 16S ribosomal RNA". It matches the Rfam family "Bacterial small subunit ribosomal RNA", at positions 1 to 140 of the family's 1533-position model. Lineage: Bacteria; Pseudomonadati; Pseudomonadota; Gammaproteobacteria; Enterobacterales; Enterobacteriaceae. The record is from RNAcentral.
UUAAAUUGAAGAGUUUGAUCAUGGCUCAGAUUGAACGCUGGCGGCAGGCCUAACACAUGCAAGUCGAACGGUAACAGGAAACAGCUUGCUGUUUCGCUGACGAGUGGCGGCGGGGGGAGUAAUGGCUGGGGACAGGCGUGACGGAGGG